RNAcentral lists this ribosomal RNA (468 nucleotides) under uncultured bacterium. RNAcentral describes it as "partial 16S ribosomal RNA". It matches the Rfam family "Bacterial small subunit ribosomal RNA", at positions 28 to 507 of the family's 1533-position model. The record is from RNAcentral.
GACGAACGCUGGCGGCGUGCUUAACACAUGCAAGUCGAACGGAAAGGCCCUGCUUUUGUGGGGUGCUCGAGUGGCGAACGGGUGAGUAACACGUGAGUAACCUGCCCUGGACUUUGGGAUAACUUCAGGAAACUGGGGCUAAUACCGGAUAGGAGCUCCUGCUGCAUGGUGGGGGUUGGAAAGUUUCGGCGGUUGGGGAUGGACUCGCGGCUUAUCAGCUUGUUGGUGGGGUAGUGGCUUACCAAGGCUUUGACGGGUAGCCGGCCUGAGAGGGUGACCGGCCACAUUGGGACUGAGAUACGGCCCAGACUCCUACGGGAGGCAGCAGUGGGGAAUAUUGCACAAUGGGCGGAAGCCUGAUGCAGCAACGCCGCGUGCGGGAUGACGGCCUUCGGGUUGUAACCCGCUUUCGCCUGUGACGAAGCGUGAGUGACGGUAAUGGGUAAAGAAGCACCGGCUAACUACGUG